This 453-nucleotide ribosomal RNA is filed under the name uncultured bacterium. RNAcentral describes it as "bacterial SSU rRNA". It matches the Rfam family "Bacterial small subunit ribosomal RNA", at positions 340 to 786 of the family's 1533-position model. The record is from RNAcentral.
UACGGGAGGCAGCAGUGGGGAAUAUUGCACAAUGGGCGCAAGCCUGAUGCAGCCAUGCCGCGUGUAUGAAGAAGGGCCUUCGGGUUGUAAAGUACUUUCAGUCGUGAGGAAGGUGUUAAGGUUAAUAACCUUAGCAAUUGACGUUAGCGACAGAAGAAGCACCGGCUAACUCCGUGCCAGCAGCCGCGGUAAUACGGAGGGUGCGAGCGUUAAUCGGAAUUACUGGGCGUAAAGGGCACGCAGGCGGUUAAUUAAGUUGGAUGUGAAUCCCCGGGCUUAACCUGGGAAUGGCAUUCAAGACUGGUUAGCUAGAGUCUUGUAGAGGGGGUAGAAUUCCAUGUGUAGCGGUGAAAUGCGUAGAGAUGUGGAGGAAUACCGGUGGCGAAGGCGGCCCCUGGACAAAGACUGACGCUCAUGUGCGAAAGCGUGGGGAGCAAACAGGGAUUAGAUACC